UCUCCCCAACCAGUAUAAACCGGGGCAACAAAAGCUGUGUGUUGUCAGAAGUGCUGCCAGGUAUUUUGCCAGCAUAGUGAUGCCAUCUGAGAGCAUGACUUUCUGAUUAACACGGUCAUGCCAGCAAAACAUUACAGUGUAAACCUGAGUCAUAGAAAGGUAUAAAACUGGAGUAAUUUUCCCUCAGAGAAAGAAGAAUGGGAAGAGUGAUGAUUACUAAUGAGUUAGCAAUGUCAGAAGAAGCUCAUUUCCCAACUGGAAAUACACAUCUCCUUCCCUAGACAGCAAAAGAAGUCAAACCCAAAAAAAUCCAUAUACGGCUAUCAUAAAUAACAUCCACUUCUCCAUUUACUUUCCUCCCACUGCAAAGUGUGGCUCGUGAGAUGGUACUUCUUCAUCUCCCAAGAGGAGGAAAAGCUUUCUCAAUUAAUCUGUUCAAAUGAGUCACCAGAAAGAGACACGUGUGAAUUCCAGCACACCUGCAGGUAACAAGUACAGCCCAGAGCAGCCUCCUCGGCACGGGCUGGAGAGCUCUUGCCUCUCCCACUGAGAUUUUAUCCCAAAGUGGUUACAGAGAAAGGAGAUGUCGGGAAGCAAGAGAAAAAGCACAGGCUGGGGACCCCUGCACCAACAUAAUUCCAUGCCUGACGGUGGUACAAAGACAUCACAUCUCAGCAUAGCUUCACACUCCAGAUGCUGAAGAAGAUAAAGCAACAAUCUCGCUCAGGAUGCACCAGCUAGCAAAGGGGCAUUGUGUCACUGGCCACUGGAAUAUAAAGCCUCCCGUGAAGCUUGCAGUAUCAUUUGCAGCACCGGCCUUCUCGGGUUUCUCUGGACGAAGCGCUAUUUCAGCUCUAAGUUUAGCACUUGGAGAGAAGCCAGGAAGACUUCCAUAACCACCACUGAUUUGUUAAUCCUUUAAUGCACAGGCACUGUUUGUUACUUAGGACGUCAGGUUUCAUCACUCCUCAGCAUGCUGGUGAUAGAACUUCUUGACACCAGACUGCAAAUAUUAUUGCAGUGUCAAUACUCCCAGGGAGAAAGCCAAGCCUGGUUAAAAUGUGACUUUGGUGUUGACAAGCCAGUUUGGCAUUGCAGAGUUCAAACGGCCAGGAUCACCUGGCAACUUUAAAAACAGGAGGAGAGUUUGCCAGGAUCCUUUUUGACUGGAGUCUUAUCCUGAGACCCGCAUGGUAACAGCUAAACACUUUCCAAUCAGAUGAAGCAAGAAAGAAUAGAGUAUGUGGAUUAUACUUUUCCAGGAAAGCGCUGGGAGCAACGUGGACAUAUGCAUAGGAUCCAGGGGACAUAACAGACGGAAUGACUGUUUUCUUCCCGCUGCUUGACAUUGCUAUAUACAGACAGCCUCCUCUUUCAACAAGAUAAAAGUCAAUGUGAAUGGGCAAGAAAGACAAAAUCCUGCAGCAAGGGCACAGGCAGCACUGGACCCUCGCAGCAUGCCCGAAAGCAGCAGUGGAUCAAGGUGUUCUGCAGGGAGGCAUUAAUACAUCUCCGAAACACACACGGAUGCUAACAGAGGGUAUACCUUUUUUUUUCCUCUCUUUUUUUUUUUUUUUAAUUUAACAAAAGGACACCCAAUUCUAUCAGUGGGGGUUGAUAUGAAAAGACCAUUACGCUCUUCCCCUGGUAGGAUGUCCACUGAAAGCCCUUGUGCAUUCAAGUGGGCAGUCAGGCACAACUAUACGGAAACAGAAGAACUGAGCCACACUAGUAUCCA
This is a long non-coding RNA of Grus americana (Whooping crane), 1738 nucleotides long. RefSeq lists it as uncharacterized. The transcript is spliced from 3 exons. The record is from RefSeq and is a predicted model, not a curated record. NCBI's taxonomy places the organism in Eukaryota, Metazoa, Chordata, Aves, Gruiformes, Gruidae.